This 1239-nucleotide ribosomal RNA is filed under the name metagenome. Its description in RNAcentral is "bacterial LSU rRNA". It matches the Rfam family "Bacterial large subunit ribosomal RNA", at positions 1569 to 2818 of the family's 2925-position model. The record is from RNAcentral.
ACGAGACGCUAAGGCGUUGAAGCAGUGUACGUCAGACUUCCAAGAAAAGCUCGCAAUGUCAUAAAUAAAAAUUGCCUGUACCAUAACCGACACAGGUGGGUAGGUAGAGUAUACUAAGGGGCGCGAGAUAACUCUCUCUAAGGAACUCGGCAAAAUGACUCCGUAACUUCGGGAGAAGGAGUGCCUUAUUUAUAAGGUUGCAAUAACAAGAUCCAAGCAACUGUUUAUCAAAAACACAGGUCUCCGCUAAGUCGUAAGACGAUGUAUGGGGGCUGACGCCUGCCCAGUGCCAGAAGGUUAAAGAAGUUGGUUAGUGUAUGCGAAGCUGAUGACUGAAGCCCUGGUGAACGGCGGCCGUAACAAUAACGGUCCUAAGGUAGCGAAAUUCCUUGUCGGGUAAGUUCCGACCCGCACGAAAGGCGUAAUGAUUUGGAUACUGUCUCGGAGAGAGGCUCGGUGAAAUAGACUUGUCUGUGAAGAUGCGGACUACCUGCACCAGGACAGAAAGACCCUAUGAAGCUUUACUGUAACUUGAAAUUGGAAUUGGACUUUGCUUGCGCAGUAUAGGUGGGAAGCGUUGAAGAUAUUCUUGCGGGAGUAUUGGAGCUAUCAGUGAGAUACCACUCUUGUAAUGUUAGAUUUCUAACUUUGAACCAUAAUCUGGUCAAAGAACAGUUUCAGGUGGGCAGUUUGACUGGGGCGGUCGCCUCCCAAAUGGUAACGGAGGCGUACAAAGGUUUCCUCUGAACGGAUAGAAAUCGUAUCUAGAGUGUAAAGGCAUAAGGAAGCUUGACUGUGAGACCUACAAGUCGAGCAGGGACGAAAGUCGGUCUUAGUGAUCUGACGGUACUGAGUGGAAAGGCCGUCACUCAACGGAUAAAAGUUACUCUAAGGAUAACAGGCUGAUCUCCCCCAAGAGUUCACAUCGACGGGGAGGUUUGGCACCUCGACGUCGGCUCAUCGCAUCCUGGGGCGGUAGUACGUCCCAAGGGUUGGGCUGUUCCCCAUGAAAGCGGUAUGCGAGCUGGGUUCAGAACGUCGUGAGACAGUUCGGUCCAUAUCCGGUGUAGGCGUUAGAAUAUUGAGAGGAGCCUUCUUUAGUACGAGAGGACCGAGAAGGACACACCGCUGGUGUACCAGUUAUCGUGCCAACGGUAAACGCUGGGUAGCUAUGUGUGGAGUGGAUAACCGCUGAAAGCAUCUAAGUGGGAAGCCCACCUCAAGAUGAGUAUUCUCAUC